RNAcentral lists this ribosomal RNA (117 nucleotides) under Oenococcus oeni. RNAcentral describes it as "partial 23S ribosomal RNA". It matches the Rfam family "Bacterial large subunit ribosomal RNA", at positions 2808 to 2925 of the family's 2925-position model. Lineage: Bacteria; Bacillati; Bacillota; Bacilli; Lactobacillales; Lactobacillaceae. The record is from RNAcentral.
GAUUUCCCAUUCGUCAGAAGUAAGACCCCUGAGAGACGAUCAGGUAGAUAGGCUAGAAGUGGAAGUGUAGUGAUGCAUGGAGCGGACUAGUACUAAUAGGUCGAGGACUUAACCAAG